CCAAAGGCUCUUUUAAGAGCCACCCAACAAAAUCGUAAGAGAGCUC
Molecule: regulatory RNA element, 46 nt
Organism: Nestor notabilis (Kea)
Lineage: Eukaryota; Metazoa; Chordata; Aves; Psittaciformes; Psittacidae
Rfam family: Histone 3' UTR stem-loop
About the family: The mRNAs of metazoan histone genes lack a poly-A tail.
Source: Rfam